UAUGUGAUCGUCUCUCGCAUAUCAAUAAGCGGAGGAAAAGAAACUAACAAGGAUUCCCCUAGUAACGGCGAGUGAAGCGGGAAGAGCUCAAAUUUGAAAUCUUAAGGGUUUCCCUUUACGAAUUGUAGUUUAAAGAAGUGUUUUCUGUUGAGGUUUUGGUAAAAGUUCUUUGGAAUAGGACAUCAUAGAGGGUGAGAAUCCCGUAUUUGACCUUUACUUUCAACUUUGUGAUACACUUUCAAAGAGUCGGAUUGUUUGGGAAUGCAGUCCAAAAUGGGUGGUAAAUUUCAUCUAAAGCUAAAUAUUGGCGAGAGACCGAUAGCGAACAAGUACCAGUGAGGGAAAGAUGAAAAGAACUUUGAAAAGAGAGUUAAACAGUACGUGAAAUUGUCAAAAGGGAAGCGUUUGACACCAGUGUUGUUUUUCUGAAAAUCAAUUAAAGAACUGUUUAUGCUAAGUUGUUUAGACUUUAUCAGCUAACUGUUUAGUUUUGAGCUUUUCUUUAAUGCACUUUUCAGUUAACAAGUCGACAUCAAUUUCUUUUGCUGUAAAAAAGCUUGAGGAAGGUGGCUUGAGAUUCGUCUUAAGUGUUUAUAGCCUCUUGCCUAUGCAGUCGGAGAGAUUGAGGUCUGCAGCGUAGAUCCUUCGGGGCUAAAUGCAUUUGUGCUAAGUUAUAGCAUUUUAUAGACAACUUGUUGACUAUGAUUUGUCUUGUAGCUUACUCGCUUAUGUUAUUUUACCUACGCUUAGGAUGUUGAAGACUCUACAGAGAUA
RNAcentral lists this ribosomal RNA (774 nucleotides) under uncultured Neocallimastigales. RNAcentral describes it as "partial large subunit ribosomal RNA". It matches the Rfam family "Eukaryotic large subunit ribosomal RNA", at positions 24 to 633 of the family's 3401-position model. The record is from RNAcentral. Lineage: Eukaryota; Fungi; Neocallimastigomycota; Neocallimastigomycetes; Neocallimastigales.